UAGGGAAUCUUCCGCAAUGGGCGAAAGCCUGACGGAGCAACGCCGCGUGAGUGAUGAAGGUCUUCGGAUCGUAAAACUCUGUUAUUAGGGAAGAACAAAUGUGUAAGUAACUAUGCACGUCUUGACGGUACCUAAUCAGAAAGCCACGGCUAACUACGUGCCAGCAGCCGCGGUAAUACGUAGGUGGCAAGCGUUAUCCGGAAUUAUUGGGCGUAAAGCGCGCGUAGGCGGUUUUUUAAGUCUGAUGUGAAAGCCCACGGCUCAACCGUGGAGGGUCAUUGGAAACUGGAAGACUUGAGUGCAGAAGAGGAAAGUGGAAUUCCAUGUGUAGCGGUGAAAUGCGCAGAGAUAUGGAGGAACACCGGUGGCGAAGGCGACUUUCUGGUCUGUAACUAACGCUGAUGUGCGAAAGCGUGGGGAUCAAACAGG
RNAcentral lists this ribosomal RNA (429 nucleotides) under Actinomycetes bacterium. RNAcentral describes it as "Actinobacteria bacterium partial 16S ribosomal RNA". It matches the Rfam family "Bacterial small subunit ribosomal RNA", at positions 355 to 776 of the family's 1533-position model. Lineage: Bacteria; Bacillati; Actinomycetota; Actinomycetes. The record is from RNAcentral.